CCCCUGAGCUGGCAGGACCCCCGGAGCCAGAGGAGGAGAUCCUGGGCUCCGAUGAUGAGGAGCAGGAGGACCCUGCAGACUACUGCAAAGUUCCUACCCUCAGUGGAUCUGCAGCAGUGUUUUGUAACCAUUAAUGUGCCGUAAACAUUUCAAGCUUGUUUGCUUGUUGCCAGAAAGGAGCAGCAGCCUCGUUUUCUGCUGCGGCUCACGGUGGCAGAGAGCAGCAAUGUGCAUUCCAAACUGGACAGAAUUCUGUAAAUCAUGAAAAGCAUUUCGUUUUGCCUGCCCUGUCUGCUUAUAAACACAAAAAGAAGAAAUUUAUGUUGAUGAGUUUUGAUCAUUAGGCAUUUUUGCUCCAAAUAGAAGCUUGAUCUUAUGUCCUGAUAGUGUCAAACCAUCAUUUCUCAUUUCAUUAAAGUUAACGAAAAAUAAAAAGUUCACAUCU
Long non-coding RNA from Austrofundulus limnaeus, 445 nucleotides. RefSeq lists it as uncharacterized. The record is from RefSeq and is a predicted model, not a curated record. Lineage: Eukaryota; Metazoa; Chordata; Actinopteri; Cyprinodontiformes; Rivulidae. The transcript is spliced from 2 exons.